Long non-coding RNA from Manis pentadactyla (Chinese pangolin), 1751 nucleotides. RefSeq lists it as uncharacterized. NCBI's taxonomy places the organism in Eukaryota, Metazoa, Chordata, Mammalia, Pholidota, Manidae. The transcript has 2 exons. The record is from RefSeq and is a predicted model, not a curated record.
CGGAGGGAGAAGGGGGACAGGAGCUGGUUCCCAAGGGAGAGAAAGACCCUGGACCUGGCUGAACAGGACUGCGGUCACCAGAGGGAGGUGUGGGCCGGGGAAGUCCUCCAACUGCUGCCCCAGCUGAACAAACUGUCCCUCAACCCCAUCCAAUUUCCAUGCUCACCUAGCAACGCUAGUGUUUUUCUAAAAUAAUUUUUAUUAUCAAACAGUACCUGCUCAUAAAAGAAAAAAAAUUAAAAAUGCAUAAAAUAGAAGGAAAACACCCUUGCUUUCAUCACUCCUGGUUACAUUUUGGAGUAUUUCAUUUCAGCCUUUUUCAUAUAAUUAUCAUGUCUCAAUAAUGAUCAUAUUGUACUCAUUAUUUUAACUCACGUCUUUUAUCCAAACACAUUUUCCCAUUAUAAGCCCUCUGCAGUCAUCAUUUUCAAUGAGCAUAUAUGGUCUGUUGAGUGGAAUCUAUUAUCUGUCUGUCAUCUAUCCAUCCAUCUGUUUUUCUGUUGUACCUCCACUGCACAGGCUAUAUUCUGUAUAGAAUUUACAUAUGCAUUCAGUGAUUGUUAUGCAAUGGCUGGUUACUUGGGCUGUUUCUCAGUAUUCGCCAUUAUAAUUAAUCCUGCCAGGAAUAUCUUGGUGCAGAAAGUUUCUUCAGUAUUCAAAUUAUUUCCGUAAGGGAGAUUCCCAGAAGCGGAGUUAUUAGAUCAAAGGGUUUGAGUGUCUUGAAGGCUCAUGACACUUGCCGCCAGAGCGCUUUCCAACAAUUCACUCUCCAGCUGGCAGCCUAUGAUUAAGCCCUCUCCCUGCACCGUCGCAACCACUGAGCAGGCUAAUUUUUAAUAGCUCUGCUAAUCUCUGAUGACCAGUUUAUGGCAAUCAGCGGUGUCCUAGGAAAGACGGGAGCUGCCCUAGAGUAUCUCAUCUGGGAAAGCUCUGACCUGCAGUGGGGAUCAGGCCCUCUGGCUGGCCACCAGCCUGUUACCAUGUGAGCCAGUGCCCUGGGCAAGAUGAUAAAAUGGGGCUCUGGGGUCGGCUGAGCGAGGCCCAGAGCCACGGAUUCAAAGGCCAAAGGAUCCAAUUGGGCAUCUUUUUGGUCUCUCUUAACUGAAACCUUUUCUGGAGAAAGGUGGUAGAAGGGAGGAAGAGCAUGAGGCUGCCAGCCCCCGGGGAGGGCCACUGCUGACUGCCCCACAUUUAUUCCACUCCUGCCUUCUUCUGCCACCAGAGCUGCAAUUUGUUCAGGCAGUCACAUCAAUUUGCUGAUCUCAGGGAGGGUGAGUCCCACCCCAAGUCCUGGAGAUGAAUCGUGAUCGGACUACAGCAAGCUUAAUGAUAUCAUUCCCACUGGUCAGUCAUUGGUCUGGGACAGGCAUGUGAUGCACUUUUGGUCAAUCAGAGGAUGCAAAUGGAAUGGCAGAGGAACAGCAGCCAUCUUGUGACCAAGAGUUGAUAAGCAUGAGCACAAAAGCCAACACACCAAGGCUGGUUGAACGGAGAGAGGGACAGAGCCUGCGUCCUUGGGUAGCUAAUCCACUCACCGAUCCCCUGUUCCAAGACUACUUGUCAUGCAGAAGAACAACGUGACAUUUAGUUAUGAUACUUUGGCUGACUUCUCAGUUACUGGCAUCUGCAUGUAUUCCUACUAAGAGAUGGGCUGGCAUUCAUUCUGUACUGUGAUAAAUAACACUAGCUGCUGUAACAAACAGAGCCCAAAUCUCAGUGGCUAAACACAACAAAGUUUUAUUUUUUGUCUA